UACGGGGGGGGCAAGCGUUGUUCGGAAUUACUGGGCGUAAAGGGCUCGUAGGUGGCCAACUAAGUCAGACGUGAAAUCCCUCGGCUUAACCGGGGAACUGCGUCUGAUACUGGAUGGCUAGAGUGUGGGAGAGGGAUGCGGAAUUCCAGGUGUAGCGGUGAAAUGCGUAGAUAUCUGGAGGAAUACCGGUGGCGAAGGCGGCAUCCUGGACCGACAUUGACGCUGAUGAGCGAAAGCUAGGGGAGCAAACGGG
Molecule: ribosomal RNA, 253 nt
Filed under: uncultured bacterium
Lineage: Bacteria
Description: partial 16S ribosomal RNA
Rfam family: Bacterial small subunit ribosomal RNA
Source: RNAcentral